RNAcentral lists this unclassified non-coding RNA (250 nucleotides) under plant metagenome. RNAcentral's name for it is "partial contains small subunit ribosomal RNA, internal transcribed spacer 1, and 5.8S ribosomal RNA". The record is from RNAcentral.
GUAGGUGAACCUGCGGAAGGAUCAUUAGCGAGAUUGUUGGGUGUUUGGGGUGUUGAUUGUUGGGUGGGUGGUUGGUUGGGGUGGGUGUUGUUGUCUGUGGUUGUUUGCGGGGCGGGGAAUCGUCCUGCAGUUGCCACAUUGUGUUGUAUAACCACAGUGCCACAUUGUGUUGUAUAACCACAGUGCCACAUUGUGUUGUAUAACCACAGUGCCACAUUGUGUUGUAUAACCACAGCAUCACACACAUCAC